Gymnodraco acuticeps is the source of this 442-nucleotide long non-coding RNA. RefSeq lists it as uncharacterized. The transcript is spliced from 5 exons. The record is from RefSeq and is a predicted model, not a curated record. Lineage: Eukaryota; Metazoa; Chordata; Actinopteri; Perciformes; Bathydraconidae.
CACCACAAGCCAAGCGCCAGCGGAAUGUAACACGUUGUUCAGUUCACCUUCACCAGAGAGGCAGGACAGCGACCAAGAAGUGCAGUUAAGAAUGCUUCUUCAUGGUGAGAUGGAUAGAUUUGAUGACACAACUGUGUCACUCUUAAAAGGUUUUGGACGAGAUGGGCCGAAUUCUAGAGGCAGGCAACAAGAACUUCACUGACCAGAUCAAAGCCAGAUGGGAAAGCUUUUGCGAAAAUGCGCUGUUCUUUGGAGUGUGGAACAAGUCGUUGAAGCCACCAAUGGGUCUGGAUACAUCUGGACAAGCGAUUGCUUUGAUGAAGGCACUUCCCUCAAUGUUUCCUUCGCCAACUGCCCCACCCAAAAAGCUUGGGUCAGCAAGUGAGGCACUAUUCCAUGUUCUUGAGCCAUCCGAGGACCCCAAUACGUUUCUCCAGAAACG